RNAcentral lists this ribosomal RNA (266 nucleotides) under uncultured Acholeplasma sp. RNAcentral describes it as "partial 16S ribosomal RNA". It matches the Rfam family "Bacterial small subunit ribosomal RNA", at positions 1113 to 1382 of the family's 1533-position model. Lineage: Bacteria; Bacillati; Mycoplasmatota; Mollicutes; Acholeplasmatales; Acholeplasmataceae. The record is from RNAcentral.
AGUUACCAUCAUUGAGUUGGGGACUCUAGCGAGACUGCCAGCGAUAAGCUGGAGGAAGUGGGGAUGACGUCAAAUCAUCAUGCCCUUAUGACCUGGGCUACAAACGUGAUACAAUGGCUGGAACAAAGGGAGGCGAAGGGGUGACCUGGAGCGAAACCCAAAAAUACAGUCUCAGUUCGGAUUGAAGUCUGCAACUCGACUUCAUGAAGUCGGAAUCGCUAGUAAUCGCGGAUCAGAACGCCGCGGUGAAUACGUUCUCGGGGUUU